UACAGAGGUCCCGAGCGUUGUUCGGAUUUACUGGGCGUAAAGGGUGCGUAGGUGGUCGUAAAAGUCUGAUGUGAAAUCUCCGAGCUUAACUCGGAAAUGGCAUUGGAUACUGUAUGACUGGAGGGUUGGAGGGGAGACUGGAAUUCUCGGUGUAGCAGUGAAAUGCGUAGAUAUCGAGAGGAACACCAGUGGCGAAGGCGAGUCUCUGGACAACUCCUGACACUGAGGCACGAAAGCUAGGGGAGCAAACGGG
Molecule: ribosomal RNA, 253 nt
Filed under: uncultured bacterium
Lineage: Bacteria
Description: partial 16S ribosomal RNA
Rfam family: Bacterial small subunit ribosomal RNA
Source: RNAcentral